GACGAACGCUGGCGGCGUGCUUAACACAUGCAAGUCGAGCGGUAAGGCCCUUUCGGGGGUACGACGAGCGGCGAACGGGUGAGUAACACGUGGGUGACCUGCCUUUAGUCUCUGGGAGUAAGCCUGGGAAACCGGGUCUAAUACCGGAUAUGACUCCGCGGCGCAUGUUGUGGGGUGGAAAGCCUUGUGCGGCUGGAGAUGGGCCCGCGGCCUAUCAGCUUGUUGGUGGGGUGAUGGCCUACCAAGGCGACGACGGGUAGCCGGCCUGAGAGGGCGACCGGCCACACUGGGACUGAGACACGGCCCAGACUCCUACGGGAGGCAGCAGUGGGGAAUCUUGCGCAAUGGGCGAAAGCCUGACGCAGCGACGCC
Molecule: ribosomal RNA, 372 nt
Filed under: uncultured bacterium
Lineage: Bacteria
Description: bacterial SSU rRNA
Rfam family: Bacterial small subunit ribosomal RNA
Source: RNAcentral